AUUGAACGCUGGCGGCAUGCUUUACACAUGCAAGUCGAACGGUAACAGGCCGCAAGGUGCUGACGAGUGGCGAACGGGUGAGUAAUGCAUCGGAACGUGCCCAGUCGUGGGGGAUAACGCAGCGAAAGCUGCGCUAAUACCGCAUACGAUCUAUGGAUGAAAGCGGGGGACCGUAAGGCCUCGCGCGAUUGGAGCGGCCGAUGUCAGAGUAGGUAGUUGGUGGGGUAAAGGCUCACCAAGACAACGAUCUGUAGCUGGUCUGAGAGGACGACCAGCCACACUGGGACUGAGACACGGCCCAGACUCCUACGGGCGGCAGCAGUGGGGAAUUUUGGACAAUGGGCGCAAGCCUGAUCCAGCAAUGCCGCGUGCAGGAAGAAGGCCUUCGGGUUGUAAACUGCUUUUGUACGGAACGAAACGGUCCUGGUUAAUACCCGGGGCUAAUGACGGUACCGUAAGAAUAAGCACCGGCUAACUACGUGCCAGCCGCCGCGGUAA
This 498-nucleotide ribosomal RNA is filed under the name uncultured bacterium. Its description in RNAcentral is "partial 16S ribosomal RNA". It matches the Rfam family "Bacterial small subunit ribosomal RNA", at positions 29 to 523 of the family's 1533-position model. The record is from RNAcentral.